Non-coding RNA from Bemisia tabaci, 480 nucleotides. The record is from RefSeq and is a predicted model, not a curated record. Lineage: Eukaryota; Metazoa; Arthropoda; Insecta; Hemiptera; Aleyrodidae.
CCACUUUAGAAACUGACCUCCUGGCGGAUUCAUAGACGGUGGUAAAGGAUUUCUGAACGACCCUCCUUAAAAGAUGACCACCCAAUCGUAUAAGUCAUCCUCAAUAAUUGUGGGUCUUCAUUUACCCGAGUUUCUGAGAUGCCCGCUAGUUGCGAGUAGGACUUCAUUGUUUCCGUGAUUCCAAAACGAACUGCCCGGAUUGUUUCUUCCAAAAUUUUGGUUCUUGGUCGCACAACUGACGGCUCUAGAAAUUCGAUGUCGCUGCCUUCACCCUGAAUAUAUCGCGGAUGAGCCAACCCUGAAGAAUGCCACGGCGAAUACAUUUGCAGCGCCCUGAACCUCACCUCCCGCUAGCCACGCCGAUGUUGCCGCUUCAAAGAUCUCCAUCAUUGGCUGAAAGUCAAAAUUUGCAAUUUCAUUUCGUAUCAUAGUACAAAUGCUAAGAUAGAAAUAAACUAUCGCUGGUGCUUUUGCAUGUAA